Molecule: ribosomal RNA, 404 nt
Filed under: Actinomycetes bacterium
Lineage: Bacteria; Bacillati; Actinomycetota; Actinomycetes
Description: Actinobacteria bacterium partial 16S ribosomal RNA
Rfam family: Bacterial small subunit ribosomal RNA
Source: RNAcentral
UGGGGAAUAUUGGACAAUGGGCGCAAGCCUGAUCCAGCCAUGCUGCGUGAGUGAUGAAGGCCCUAGGGUUGUAAAGCCCUUUCACCGGUGAAGAUAAUGACGGUAACCGGAGAAGAAGCCUCGGCUAACUUCGUGCCAGCAGCCGCGGUAAUACGAAGGGGGCUAGCGUUGUUCGGAUUUACUGGGCGUAAAGCGCACGUAGGCGGACUUUUAAGUCAGGGGUGAAAUCCCGGGGCUCAACCCCGGAACUGCCUUUGAUACUGGAAGUCUUGAGUAUGGUAGAGGUGAGUGGAAUUCCGAGUGUAGAGGUGAAAUUCGUAGAUAUUCGGAGGAACACCAGUGGCGAAGGCGGCUCACUGGACCAUUACUGACGCUGAGGUGCGAAAGCGUGGGGAGCAAACAGG